Molecule: ribosomal RNA, 510 nt
Filed under: uncultured bacterium
Lineage: Bacteria
Description: partial 16S ribosomal RNA
Rfam family: Bacterial small subunit ribosomal RNA
Source: RNAcentral
GACGAACGCUGGCGGCGUGCUUAACACAUGCAAGUCGAACGAAGAGCGAUGGAAGCUUGCUUCUAUCAAUCUUAGUGGCGAACGGGUGAGUCACGCGUAAUCAACCUGCCCUUCAGAGGGGGACAACAGUUGGAAACGACUGCUAAUACCGCAUACGAUCUAAUCUCGGCAUCGAGGAUAGAUGAAAGGUGGCCUCUACAUGUAAGCUAUCACUGAAGGAGGGGAUUGCGUCUGAUUAGCUAGUUGGAGGGGUAACGGCCCACCAAGGCGAUGAUCAGUAGCCGGUCUGAGAGGAUGAACGGCCACAUUGGGACUGAGACACGGCCCAGACUCCUACGGGAGGCAGCAGUGGGGAAUCUUCCGCAAUGGACGAAAGUCUGACGGAGCAACGCCGCGUGAGUGAUGACGGCCUUCGGGUUGUAAAGCUCUGUUAAUCGGGACGAAAGGCCUUCUUGCGAACAGUUAGAAGGAUUGACGGUACCGGAAUAGAAAGCCACGGCUAACUACGUG